This 70-nucleotide non-coding RNA is filed under the name marine eukaryotic metagenome. The record is from RNAcentral.
AAGAUUGAUUUAUUUUGGAGAAGUCAGCAGAAGUCAUAGUAGUUGAUAAUCUGAUAUAUCAACGAAGGAC